Molecule: ribosomal RNA, 253 nt
Filed under: uncultured bacterium
Lineage: Bacteria
Description: partial 16S ribosomal RNA
Rfam family: Bacterial small subunit ribosomal RNA
Source: RNAcentral
UACGGAGGGGGCAAGCGUUGUUCGGAAUUAUUGGGCGUAAAGGGCGCGUAGGCGGCCAUGCAAGUCGGUUGUGAAAUCCCUUGGCUCAACCAAGGAACUGCGUCCGAAACUGCAUGGCUCGAGUCCGGGAGAGGGUAGUGGAAUUCCCAGUGUAGCGGUGAAAUGCGUAGAUAUUGGGAGGAACACCGGUGGCGAAGGCGGCUACCUGGACCGGAACUGACGCUGAGGCGCGAAAGCUAGGGGAGCAAACAGG